This 253-nucleotide ribosomal RNA is filed under the name uncultured bacterium. RNAcentral describes it as "partial 16S ribosomal RNA". It matches the Rfam family "Bacterial small subunit ribosomal RNA", at positions 524 to 776 of the family's 1533-position model. The record is from RNAcentral.
GACGGGGGGGGCAAGUGUUCUUCGGAAUGACUGGGCGUAAAGCGCACGUAGGCGGAUAUUUAAGUCAGGGGUGAAAUCCCAGAGCUCAACUCUGGAGCUGCCUUUGAUACUGGGUAUCUUGAGUAUGGAAGAGGUGAGUGGAAUUCCGAGUGUAGAGGUGAAAUUCGUAGAUAUUCGGAGGAACACCAGUGGCGAAGGCGGCUCACUGGUCCAUUACUGACGCUGAGGUGCGAAAGCGUGGGGAGCAAACAGG